Non-coding RNA from Chromobacterium sp., 86 nucleotides. The record is from Rfam. NCBI's taxonomy places the organism in Bacteria, Pseudomonadati, Pseudomonadota, Betaproteobacteria, Neisseriales, Chromobacteriaceae.
CUCCAUGGCGGGCCGGGCGGGGAGACCUACGGGUCUGCCGGGUCCAUGUGUCCGGUUCGCCAACCCCGUUUCGGCCUGCCACCCCG